GGCAGCCUUCCCUCUAUGAGGAGGAGGUCCUAUCAGUGACUGGCAGCCUUCCCUCUAUAAGGAGGAGGUCCUAUCAGUGAUUGACAGCCUUCCCUCUAUGAGGAGGUGGUCCUAUCAGUGACGGACAGCCUUCCCACUAUGAGGAGGAGGUCCCAUCAGUGACUGACAGCCUUCCCUCUAUGAGGCGGUCCUAUCAGUGACUGACAGCCUUCCCUCUAUGAGGAGGAGGUCCCAUCAGUGACUGACAGCCUUCCCUCUAUGAGGAGGAGGUCCUAU
This is a long non-coding RNA of Bufo bufo (common toad), 276 nucleotides long. RefSeq lists it as uncharacterized. The record is from RefSeq and is a predicted model, not a curated record. The transcript is spliced from 3 exons. NCBI's taxonomy places the organism in Eukaryota, Metazoa, Chordata, Amphibia, Anura, Bufonidae.